CCCGCCGAGGGGCGCUGCGACCGUGGACCGGGCGGGACUUCCGCCGGAACCCGCACCGAGGUGCGGAGCUUUCCGAUCCACGGCCAGGCUCGGCAUGGCACACCCUAGCGACAACGGCGCCCGGCGAAA
This 129-nucleotide non-coding RNA is filed under the name Pseudoxanthomonas suwonensis. RNAcentral describes it as "SAH sequence". It matches the Rfam family "SAH (S-adenosyl-L-homocysteine) riboswitch aptamer". The record is from Rfam by way of RNAcentral. Lineage: Bacteria; Pseudomonadati; Pseudomonadota; Gammaproteobacteria; Lysobacterales; Lysobacteraceae.